This 253-nucleotide ribosomal RNA is filed under the name uncultured bacterium. RNAcentral's name for it is "partial 16S ribosomal RNA". It matches the Rfam family "Bacterial small subunit ribosomal RNA", at positions 524 to 776 of the family's 1533-position model. The record is from RNAcentral.
UACGAAGGGGGCUAGCGUUGCUCGGAAUGACUGGGCGUAAAGGGCGCGUAGGCGGUUUGUACAGUCAGGUGUGAAAUUCCCGGGCUCAACCUGGGGGCUGCACUUGAUACGUAGGAACUGGAGUGGGGAAGAGGGUCGUGGAAUUCCCAGUGUAGAGGUGAAAUUCGUAGAUAUCAAGCGGAACACCGGUGGCGAAGGCGGCCUUCUGGACAGUGACUGACGCUGAGACGCGAAAGCGUGGGGAGCAAACAGG